AAACUGCUUCUGUACACCUCUGAUUCCACCAAGGCGACCAAGGAUAUUUAAAAGAUUUUUGUGAACAAGAACUAGUAGCAUUAUUACUAUUAGAACUUUUGGAAAACAGACAGCUAGGGAUUGACUGCUUGGCAGCAGAAAGUAAAAUAUUACAAAUGGAAUUAAAAGCAUCUAUUGAAGAUAAAGUGUCAAAUUUAACAUCAUCCAAAUAAGAAACAACUAAGUUACUAUACAUAUUCCAAUUCACCUGCUUAUAAUUAGGGGAGAUGAUAACUACUGCCCAGAGGACUGUCAAUAACUGACCAGUCACAUAAAAGAGCCAAAGAUGGAGUUACCAAAGUCAAGUCAAGAGCAUUAGGACGCCAAGAUGGAGAUCCUAUUGUGGUAGCUUGACCAUUAUUCAGAAUAACAAGACCAUUCUCAUCUAUAACCUCUAAAACAUCUUUACCUCGAGGCAAUGUAUCAACACAUCCCCACAACAUGUGAUGAGCAUUGAAAUCACCUGCAAAUAUCAUUGGCUCUGGAAUGGACUUAAUUAAACUGUUUAAAUUGUUUUUAUUAAAUGGAGGAUUUGAAUUGGAAGGACUGUAAAAACUCACAAUACUCAGUUCUUUGUUAUUAAUUUUAAUGCAAACAUUUUGUAGAGCACUAUCAUAAUAUGUAUUUAUGUUAGAAAAUGUGAUAUUAUUAUGAAUAAAAAUUGCUACACCA
Molecule: long non-coding RNA, 711 nt
Organism: Leptidea sinapis
Lineage: Eukaryota; Metazoa; Arthropoda; Insecta; Lepidoptera; Pieridae
Exons: 2
Source: RefSeq, a predicted model, not a curated record